GCACUGUAGUCAGAGUUUGAUCCUGGCUCAGGAUGAACGCUAGCGAUAGGCUUAACACAUGCAAGUCGAGGGGCAGCAUAUUCGAAGCUUGCUUUGAAUGAUGGCGACCGGCGCACGGGUGCGUAACGCGUAUGCAACUUGCCUCUUAGUGGGGAAUAACCCGGAGAAAUCCGGACUAAUACCGCAUACACUUAGUUAUCCGCAUGGAUGAUUAAGGAAAGAUUUAUUGCUAAGAGAUAGGCAUGCGUUCCAUUAGUUAGUUGGUGAGGUAACGGCUCACCAAGGCAUCGAUGGAUAGGGGAGCUGAGAGGCUUAUCCCCCACAUUGGGACUGAGACACGGCCCAA
This 346-nucleotide ribosomal RNA is filed under the name uncultured bacterium. RNAcentral's name for it is "bacterial SSU rRNA". It matches the Rfam family "Bacterial small subunit ribosomal RNA", at positions 1 to 334 of the family's 1533-position model. The record is from RNAcentral.